GGAGAGAUGGCCGAGNNUUGGUCGAAGGCGCUCCCCUGCUAAGGGAGUAUGGGGCCAAAAGCUCCAUCGAGGGUUCGAAUCCCUCUCUCUCCGCCA
Molecule: transfer RNA, 96 nt
Filed under: Coxiellaceae bacterium
Lineage: Bacteria; Pseudomonadati; Pseudomonadota; Gammaproteobacteria; Legionellales; Coxiellaceae
Description: tRNA-Ser
Rfam family: tRNA
About the family: Transfer RNA (tRNA) molecules are approximately 80 nucleotides in length. Their secondary structure includes four short double-helical elements and three loops (D, anti-codon, and T loops).
Source: RNAcentral